This 153-nucleotide small nucleolar RNA is filed under the name Genlisea aurea. RNAcentral describes it as "small nucleolar RNA snoR137". It matches the Rfam family "small nucleolar RNA snoR137". Lineage: Eukaryota; Viridiplantae; Streptophyta; Magnoliopsida; Lamiales; Lentibulariaceae. The record is from Rfam by way of RNAcentral.
GUUGCUUCUUACUGAUGAACUCCUUCGGUUUCCACUAAAACGAACGAGGGAUGUUCAUGUUUCUGAAGCAUAAAAAAAAAUGUGGCAGUUUAUAACAGCACGAUGAUGAUUCUCAAUCCCGUUUCAUCGUGUUACCUGUCUCCUGCUACAACC